This 253-nucleotide ribosomal RNA is filed under the name uncultured bacterium. RNAcentral's name for it is "partial 16S ribosomal RNA". It matches the Rfam family "Bacterial small subunit ribosomal RNA", at positions 524 to 776 of the family's 1533-position model. The record is from RNAcentral.
UACAGAGGUCCCGAGCGUUGUUCGGAAUCACUGGGCGUAAAGGGCGUGUAGGCGGUCAAGUUAGUGGGACGUGAAAUGCCUCGGCUCACCCGAGGACCUGCGUCCCAAACUGCUUGGCUUGAGUAUGGGAGAGGAUGUGGGAAUUCCUGGUGUAGCGGUGAAAUGCGUAGAUAUCAGGAGGAACACCGGUGGCGAAGGCGCACAUCUGGCCCAAUACUGACGCUGAGGCGCGAAAGCUAGGGGAGCAAACGGG